AGGACGAACGCUGGCGGCGUGCUUAACACAUGCAAGUCGAGCGGAAAGGCCCUUCGGGACGGUGCCCUAGCGGCGAACGGGUGAGUAACACGUGGGCAACCUGCCCCUAGCACUGGGAUAACUCCGGGAAACCGGGGCUAAUACCGGAUAUGACCUUUGAGGGCAUCCUCGAAGGUGUAAAGGAUUCUGGCUAGGGAUGGGCCCGCGGCCUAUCAGCUUGUUGGUGGGGUAACGGCCUACCAAGGCGACGACGGGU
RNAcentral lists this ribosomal RNA (256 nucleotides) under uncultured bacterium. RNAcentral describes it as "partial small subunit ribosomal RNA". It matches the Rfam family "Bacterial small subunit ribosomal RNA", at positions 26 to 284 of the family's 1533-position model. The record is from RNAcentral.